CAAUGUUUUUUCCUUAGUAGUUCAACGUUUUGUUCUAAUCACGCCUGAAAAUCUCCUUCCAAGCUGGAACAUUUACAAUUUACACUCGUGGAUUUUACUAAACCGUUACAGAUUGCGGACAGAAAUUAUAGAUAUAACUGGGAUAAUUGUUGGUCGAGUGUGCAACUGUUUCAAAGACUUUGUGUGGAUGGCAAACAAAAGCUGGUCAUGAUGAAAUAUAGUCCGUUCAGAUUUGUUGACUGCUUUAUCUAUGCAAUGCUGUUCACGUUUUUCGCUAUUUUCGGUGGAUGCAAGAGGACAAAUUCCGGCUUUGGUGGGCUGGGCUUAAAUGAUACUCGUGUAUCUGAUAAUCAGGAUCCACCAUUGUGUAGCCAUUUUCUUCUCUCCUGUUAGUGCUUUGCGGUGUAUUCCAAGGCUGUACUUUUGUUUUCCCGAAAAUGCACCACAGAAGAUUGCCUGCAAAAUAAGCUCCAGCCGAUAUGAAGAACACAAUCCUCCAUUGUGCGGGAUCUCGCUGUGAAGGAUCGGAAAAUUUGAAUUAAAAUAAAGUAG
RNAcentral lists this unclassified non-coding RNA (552 nucleotides) under Hermetia illucens (black soldier fly). Its description in RNAcentral is "uncharacterized LOC119653186, transcript variant X2". Lineage: Eukaryota; Metazoa; Arthropoda; Insecta; Diptera; Stratiomyidae. The record is from RNAcentral.